CCCAGACUCCUACGGGAGGCAGCAGUGGGGAAUAUUGGACAAUGGGGGGAACCCUGAUCCAGCGACGCCGCGUGAGUGAAGAAGUAUUUCGGUAUGUAAAGCUCUAUCAGCAGGGAAGAAAGAAAUGACGGUACCUGACUAAGAAGCCCCGGCUAACUACGUGCCAGCAGCCGCGGUAAUACGUAGGGGGCAAGCGUUAUCCGGAUUUACUGGGUGUAAAGGGGGCGCAGACGGCAGCGCAAGCCAGGAGUGAAAGCCCGGGGCCCAACCCCGGGACUGCUCUUGGAACUGCGCGGCUGGAGUGCAGGAGGGGCAGGCGGAAUUCCUGGUGUAGCGGUGAAAUGCGUAGAUAUCAGGAGGAACACCGGUGGCGAAGGCGGCCUGCUGGACUGCGACUGACGUUGAGGCCCGAAAGCGUGGGGAGCACACAGGAUUAGAUACCCCAGUAA
This 449-nucleotide ribosomal RNA is filed under the name uncultured bacterium. Its description in RNAcentral is "bacterial SSU rRNA". It matches the Rfam family "Bacterial small subunit ribosomal RNA", at positions 330 to 793 of the family's 1533-position model. The record is from RNAcentral.